RNAcentral lists this non-coding RNA (30 nucleotides) under Homo sapiens (human). The record is from RNAcentral. Lineage: Eukaryota; Metazoa; Chordata; Mammalia; Primates; Hominidae.
UAGGUGUCUGAAGGGAGUAUUUACUCCAUC